This is a small nuclear RNA of Suncus etruscus (white-toothed pygmy shrew), 164 nucleotides long. RefSeq annotates it as U1 spliceosomal RNA. Lineage: Eukaryota; Metazoa; Chordata; Mammalia; Eulipotyphla; Soricidae. The transcript has a single exon. The record is from RefSeq and is a predicted model, not a curated record.
AUACUUACCUGGCAGGGGAGAUACCAUGAUCUCGAAGGUGAUUUCCCCAAGACAAGGCUCAUCCAUUGCACUCCGGAUGUGCUGACCCCUGCGAAUUCCUCAAAUGUGGGAAACUCAACUGCACGAUUUGUGGUAGUGGGGGACUGCAUUCGCGCUCUCCCCUG